GCCGGGCGUGGUGAUGCACACCUGUAAUCCCAGCUACUUGGGAGGCUGAGGCAGGAGAAUCGCUUGAACCCGGGAGGCGAGGUUGCAGUGAGCCGAGAUCGCACCACUGCCCUCCGGCCUGGGUGACACAGCAAGACUCUGCCUCAA
Molecule: non-coding RNA, 147 nt
Filed under: Homo sapiens (human)
Lineage: Eukaryota; Metazoa; Chordata; Mammalia; Primates; Hominidae
Source: Rfam by way of RNAcentral